Molecule: transfer RNA, 57 nt
Filed under: Prosevania sp. ZJUH_2016031
Lineage: Eukaryota; Metazoa; Arthropoda; Insecta; Hymenoptera; Evaniidae
Description: tRNA-Arg
Source: RNAcentral
AGAAAUAAUAAAAUUAUAUUUCAAUUUCGACUUGAAACUUAGAUUAAAAUAAUCCUU